CAGUCGCCGCGGGAAUACGUAGGUGGCAAGCGUUGUCCGGAAUUAUUGGGCGUAAAGGGCUCGCAGGCGGUUUCUUAAGUCUGAUGUGAAAGCCCCCGGCUCAACCGGGGAGGGUCAUUGGAAACUGGGAAACUUGAGUGCAGAAGAGGAGAGUGGAAUUCCACGUGUAGCGGUGAAAUGCGUAGAGAUGUGGAGGAACACCAGUGGCGAAGGCGACUCUCUGGUCUGUAACCGACGCUGAGGAGCGAAAGCGUGGGGAGCGAACAGGAUUAGAUACCCCUGUAGUCCCUGUCUCUUAUAC
Molecule: ribosomal RNA, 301 nt
Filed under: uncultured bacterium
Lineage: Bacteria
Description: partial 16S ribosomal RNA
Rfam family: Bacterial small subunit ribosomal RNA
Source: RNAcentral